CCACCACACAAUCUCCAGGGAGGGUAAAGGAGCUUUAGGUUGAGCUGAUCACCCAUGUCCCAUGAUGUAAUCAAUCAGGACAUAAUGAAGCCUCCAUGAAAAAUCAAAAGGACUGGUUCAGAAAGUUUCUGGAUUGCUGAACACAUGGUCUCACUUUGUCAACCAGGAUAGAGUACAGUGGCAUGAACAUGGCUCACAGCUGCCUCAACCUCUCAAGCUCCAGCGAUCCUCCCUCAGCCUCCUGAGUAGCUGGGACCACAAGGAUGCGCCACCACCCCUGGCUAGUUCUGUUCAUUUUUUGUAGGGACAAGGCCUCACUAUGUUGUCCAUGACUCAAGCAAUCCUUCUGCCUCAGCCUUCCAAAGUGCUGGGAGUACAGGCGUUUGAGUCACCGUGCCUGGCCAGAUCUUGGUUUCUAAUGCCAUUAUCCAAUAAAAGGAAUGGGGACUCCUUGGAGAAAUGACUGAUUCUAGGAGCCGGGCAGGAAAUAUGCAAGAUGAGCCUGGAGCAUUUUGUAGUACCACAAAGUAGGAAAGUAUUAAAAUACACACACACACACACACACACACACACACACACACACAAUGUCAAAAGAACCAGAGGCCAACCAAAAGAGCACCUGAUGGCCAAAGCUGGAACAAUUUGAGCAACAAAAUAAAUGAAGUAAUACUGGAUUAAAACCCAAAGUGUAAAAUAAAUAUCCAUAUCAGUAUGACUCCACACUGAUAUAAAUGAUUGAACAGAUGAGGAAAAAUAAAGUCUCUGAUGCAGAAUUACAAAUAAUUUGUGUAGAUAUUUUGCCCUCAAGGAGGUAGAGUACAACUCUCCACUCCUUAGGUGUGGGCUAUGCAUAGUGACUUUCAUCUAAAGAGUACAGUAUGGAAAAGGGGGGAAAGUAUCUUUACAGCAGAGAAACCUGAUAAACUACCUUAAGACCAAGGUCAACAUCAGUAGUGAUAAGUCAUAUUGAUAGGAUGUACCCUUGAUAGGAAGUAAUGAGAAUGAUACUUUACCUCUCUGGGUCUUCCUCCCAAAAACACAUUAUCAAGUCUAAUAAUGACAAAAACAUCACACAAAUCCCAACUGAGGCAAUCUUACAAAUAUCUGACCAACAACCCUCAAAACUGUCAAGAUCAUCAAAAACAAAGCAAGUCUGAGAAACAAUCACAACCAAGAAAACUGUAAGGAGAAAUGAGUACUAGACAUAAUGUGGUAUCCUGGAUGGUAUUCAGGAACAGGAAAAAGACAUUAGGAAAAAAACCUGAGGAAAUCUGAAUAAAAUAUGAACUUUAGUUAACAAUAAUGUAUCAAUAUCAGUUUACUAAUGUUAAAAAUAUACUAUACUAAUAUAUUAAUAAUAGAGGAAACUGCAGUGUGGGGUAUAUAGGGACUCUGUACUAUCUUCACAAUAAAUCUGUAAAUCUAAAACCGUGUGUGUGGUUUUUUUAGACUAGGUCUUGCUUUGCCCAACAUGACAUACUGAGGACACAUCACCUCUGUAUUCUUCCCAAAAAUCUACUAUCUAAUCGUGGAAAAAAAUCAGACAAACCCCGACUGGCAUUUUGUAAAACACCUGGCCGAUACUCUAUGAACGCAUCAAUGCUAUGAAAUGCAAGGAGAUACUAUCACAGAUUGGAGGAGACUAAGGAAGACAUAACCACUAAAUGCAAUGUGAUAGCCUAGAUUGAAUCCUGGUCAUCCUAGGUGACAAUAAAUUAUGACUUGUGAAAAUCUGAAUAGGAUGAAAGUUUACCACUACCCUAACCACAAUAGAAGAGAGUUCCAAAUCCAAUCACAGUGCUGCACAUCAGUUUUGAAGUCAGCUAAACAUUGAGUCUUAGCACCCUCAGU
Molecule: long non-coding RNA, 1851 nt
Filed under: Homo sapiens (human)
Lineage: Eukaryota; Metazoa; Chordata; Mammalia; Primates; Hominidae
Description: HSALNT0291075
Source: RNAcentral